AAUAUUGGUCAAUGGGAGAAAGACUGAUCCAGCCAUGCCGCGUGUGUGAAGAAGGCAGUCGGAUAGUAAAGCACAUUAAGUUGGGAGGAAGGGCCGCCAGUUAAAACAUUGCUGAUUUGACGAUACCGCCAGAAUAGGGAUCGACUAACUUUGUGCGAGCUGCCGCGGUAAUACGAAGGGUGCAAGCGUUAAUCGGAAUUACUGGGCGUAAAGCGCGCGUAGGUGGUUGGUUAAGUUGGAAGUGAAGGCCCGGGGCUCAACCUGGGAACUGCUUGCAAAACUGGCAAGCUAGAGUAUGGCAGAGGAUGGUGGAAUUUCCUGUGUAGCGGUGAAAUGCGUAGAUAUAGGAAGGAACACCAGUGGCGAAGGCGACCACCUGGGCUAAUACUGACACUGAGGUGCGAAAGCUUGGGGGGCAAAC
Molecule: ribosomal RNA, 421 nt
Filed under: uncultured bacterium
Lineage: Bacteria
Description: partial 16S ribosomal RNA
Rfam family: Bacterial small subunit ribosomal RNA
Source: RNAcentral